This 505-nucleotide ribosomal RNA is filed under the name uncultured bacterium. Its description in RNAcentral is "partial 16S ribosomal RNA". It matches the Rfam family "Bacterial small subunit ribosomal RNA", at positions 28 to 523 of the family's 1533-position model. The record is from RNAcentral.
GAUGAACGCUAGCUACAGGCUUAACACAUGCAAGUCGAGGGGUAACGAGAGGGAAGCUUGCUUUCCUUGUCGACGACCGGCGCACGGGUGAGUAACGCGUAUCCAACCUGCCCCCAACUAAGGAAUAACCUUGCGAAAGUAAGACUAAUACCUUAUAAUUUCCUCAGAUGUCAUCUGACGAGGAAUAAAGAUUUAUCGGUUGUGGAUGGGGAUGCGUCUGAUAGCUUGUUGGCGGGGUAACGGCCCACCAAGGCAACGAUCAGUAGGGGUUCUGAGAGGAAGGUCCCCCACAUUGGAACUGAGACACGGUCCAAACUCCUACGGGAGGCAGCAGUGAGGAAUAUUGGUCAAUGGGCGAAAGCCUGAACCAGCCAAGUAGCGUGCAGGAUGACGGCCCUAUGGGUUGUAAACUGCUUUUAUACAGGAAUAAAGUUAGCCACGUGUGGUUAUUUGUAGGUAUUGUAUGAAUAAGGACCGGCUAAUUCCGUGCCAGCCGCCGCGGUAA